Molecule: ribosomal RNA, 403 nt
Filed under: uncultured bacterium
Lineage: Bacteria
Description: partial 16S ribosomal RNA
Rfam family: Bacterial small subunit ribosomal RNA
Source: RNAcentral
GACGAACGCUGGCGGCGUGCCUAAUACAUGCAAGUCGAACGCAGUGGGGACGGGUGAGUAACACGUGGGUAACCUCCCAUCAGAGGGGAUAACACUUGGAAACAGGUGCUAAACCGAUACUGAUGGAUGAACCCGCGGUGCAUUAGCUAGUUGGUGAGGUAACGGCUGAACAAGGCCACGAUGCAUAGCCGACCUGAUAGGGUAAUCGGCCACACUGUGACUGAGACACGGCUCAGACUACUACGUGAGGCAGCAGUAGUGAAUCGUCGGCAAUGGACGAAAGUCUGACCGAGACACGCCGAGUGAGUGAAGAAGGUUUUCGGAUCGUAAAACUCUGUUGUUAGAGAAGCGGUAUCUAACCAGAAAGCCACGGCUAACUACGUGCCAGCAGCCGCGGUAAUUC